AGUCUUAGGAAAUAAGCUUCUGACUUUUGCAGAAGUUCCUGGCACUACAGGGAAACGAGUGACUGAAAUGGGAAAGGCUUCUCUGCCUCGACUUGCUGGUUGACCUCAGGCAGGCUAAUUUUCCCUCUGUGGGCUUCAGUUCUUCGCUUCUAAGCUGAGGGAGUUGAACUUGAUGUCUAAGUUCACUUCUAGCUCUAAAAUUCAAUGAGUUAAAUCAGAAGCGUUGGUGAGGUGCAAGGCUUUAAAGCACAAACUUCCUCAGCAGGGCUGGAUUCCCCCUGGAUGGGCGCCCAGCUCUCUUCUUCCCGCCGGGAGGGAAAAGAUCUAAUGGUACUGGUGAAUAUUAGCAUACUGUCCUCUAAGUGCUUGUUGCCUACCUUCUGGCAUUCAACAUUCAUUGAUCUUCUGGAAAUGGGCCACGCCCUUGGAUGCAAUCUAGAAUAUACACCCAAUACUGAAUUAAUUACAACAAGUUAAAAUUACGCAGUGUGGCUCCUUGAAGCAAACAUGGACUUUGAUAUAAGGGAGUGUUGGAUUUGCAACCUGACAGGACAUCUUAGGAGUUGUGUGACUUUGGCUUCUUUGGGUUACUUCUCUGAAGCUUAGUUUCUUUUUCUGUAAAAUGGAGGAAGUGCUGCUUACAAGGUUUUUUUUUUUUUUUUUUAGAGGUUAAAAGAGAUAACGG
This 685-nucleotide long non-coding RNA is filed under the name Felis catus (domestic cat). RNAcentral's name for it is "lncRNA (ENSFCAG00000046147.2)". The record is from RNAcentral. Lineage: Eukaryota; Metazoa; Chordata; Mammalia; Carnivora; Felidae.